This 253-nucleotide ribosomal RNA is filed under the name uncultured bacterium. RNAcentral's name for it is "partial 16S ribosomal RNA". It matches the Rfam family "Bacterial small subunit ribosomal RNA", at positions 524 to 776 of the family's 1533-position model. The record is from RNAcentral.
UACGUAGGGUCCGAGCGUUGUCCGGAAUUAUUGGGCGUAAAGAGCUCGUAGGCGGUUUGUCGCGUCUGCUGUGAAAUCCCGAGGCUCAACCUCGGGUCUGCAGUGGGUACGGGCAGACUGGAGUGCGGUAGGGGAGAAUGGAAUUCCUGGUGUAGCGGUGGAAUGCGCAGAUAUCAGGAGGAACACCGAUGGCGAAGGCAGGUCUCUGGGCCGAAACUGACGCUGAGGAGCGAAAGCGUGGGGAGCAAACAGG